GACGAACGCUGGCGGCGUGCUUAACACAUGCAAGUCGAACGGAAGGGCCCUGCUUUUGUGGGGUGCUCGAGUGGCGAACGGGUGAGUAACACGUGAGCAACCUGCCCUUGACUUUGGGAUAACUUCAGGAAACUGGGGCUAAUACCGGAUAGGAGCUCCUGCUGCAUGGUGGGGGUUGGAAAGUUUCGGCGGUUGGGGAUGGACUCGCGGCUUAUCAGCUUGUUGGUGGGGUAGUGGCUUACCAAGGCUUUGACGGGUAGCCGGCCUGAGAGGGUGACCGGCCACAUUGGGACUGAGAUACGGCCCAGACUCCUACGGGAGGCAGCAGUGGGGAAUAUUGCACAAUGGGCGGAAGCCUGAUGCAGCAACGCCGCGUGCGGGAUGACGGCCUUCGGGUUGUAAACCGCUUUCGCCUGUGACGAAGCGUGAGUGACGGUAAUGGGUAAAGAAGCACCGGCUAACUACGUG
Molecule: ribosomal RNA, 468 nt
Filed under: uncultured bacterium
Lineage: Bacteria
Description: partial 16S ribosomal RNA
Rfam family: Bacterial small subunit ribosomal RNA
Source: RNAcentral